ACUCGUAGAUUCGCAGUUCCAGCUGAAUGCAAUCUGUGCAUCGAUAAGAGGAAAAUGUGCGCGAGUACAGAACCGCGCGAGCGUAAGCUCGCGUUUAUACGUGUGUGUCGGAGAGAGAUUUCUGGCAUUAGUGUUCUCGGUACCAUAUUCGAUAUAAUUAAAGUGCAUAAAUAAACACAAUGGUACAAGGACCGGUUAGAAAGGGCGAGAAGCAGUGGCGCAGCGGUGGCAGUGGCUACGUAGAAGGGAUACUCGCUCGAAAUGGACAGAACUUUCCGGUAGGCCUAACAUACAAAACUUCACUUUUUGAGAAUAAAGCCCGUCUACGAGGAAACUCGAGAAUUUCUGACCCUUGGACACGUUUGGAAUCAAUAGCGAGCGCAACAAUCAUUUUCGUGGCGGAUUACAUCGCGUAAUUGCGAACAAGUUUCGAAAGGACCGAAACAUCAUGCAACGAGGAGAGUUCGAUUUGUAUCUCAUCGGGCACAGCCGAUCCGAACUUCGUCCUGAGAGAGCCGACUGUUUACGAUUUUCGAGUCGAUGGCAACGUGAAAUCCACACGAAUGAUGUUUACAUUUACGUAUGGUACACACCCUACCCACCGCCUACUUGAACCGGAUUACUAACUGUAUAUGUGUACAACUGUUUCCAGGAAUUCGAAUGAAAAGACCGCGUUCAAUUACGGGAGACAGAUCCGAGUAACGGCGAUAAUCGAAACGCGAAUACCAACGAUCACCGCUCGAACGCGCGUAAACAUUUUCCUCGAUUUGUUUCGAUUCGACGUUAUUAUCUACCAAGUAAUUGUUUACUUGAAUCGUCUCGUUCAAACUAAUAAAAGUCGACCUUUACGCAAACGAGUGUUCUCUUAUUUUCGAAAUCGUAUUUUACUUUUAGAGAGCUUCGAAACUUGCUUCGUUAAAUGGGUGAGUGCAGCUCGUUUACGUACACUCGCUCACACACACACACAUACACAUAUUGCGCGCGCAAACAUCUAUCCAUUCACGAACAAAGUUCAAGGUAAAGAAGAACAAACGACAAUGUACUUAUUCGUUUGUUCUUUAAUUUAGUUCAAUCAUGGCAUGAGGUAUUAAAAACCGAUUCGAUUGACGUCCAGUCAUAAACAGUUGUCGAUUCCAGCGAUAACAAUCGAUCGAUUUACGUAAUGUUUACAUAAUGUAAAAAUUUCGAUACAAAUCAUAUCAUAUAUAAUCAUAUAUAAAUAGCAAUUUCUGAUGUAUCGUUCUUAAACAACGGACACUUGGUUAAGCGGCAACCAGACUGGUUCGUGUGUUUUUUCGCUCGUGCUCGAUUUUUAUCUGCAAUGCUGUACCGAGACAACCGACUCGCGAACUAAACAAGUAUCGUUCGACAACAGUACCAAUCGAAUCAAUUUCUUCGCACGGUUCGUCGUGAACGAAUAAAUGCGUGCACGUUUACGUCAACUCGUGUUUACGAUAAACCUUAAAGAGCCAAGAAAGAAAGAAAGAAAGAAAGAAAGAAAGAAAGAAAGAAAGAAAGAAAGAAAGAAAGAAAGAAAGAAAGAAAGAAAGAAAGAAAGAAAGAAUAAAGCUGACGGUAGAUUCGCGACAACAAAGAAUAGAAUCUCAGGGGUCGGGUUGGAGGUUUACGGGAAGAAGAAGUGUCGAAAGGUAUCGAAAGGAAUCGAGUGUGUUGAACUUACCGUGAA
This is a long non-coding RNA of Hylaeus volcanicus, 1687 nucleotides long. RefSeq lists it as uncharacterized. The record is from RefSeq and is a predicted model, not a curated record. The transcript is spliced from 3 exons. Lineage: Eukaryota; Metazoa; Arthropoda; Insecta; Hymenoptera; Colletidae.